Molecule: RNA transcript, 1857 nt
Organism: Hyla sarda
Lineage: Eukaryota; Metazoa; Chordata; Amphibia; Anura; Hylidae
Gene: SLC22A15
Gene name: solute carrier family 22 member 15
Source: RefSeq, a predicted model, not a curated record
UGGUCUCUGGUGGACGCUCAGGCCUACAAGGUCAGUGCCGCCAGCUCCAUCUUCUUCGGAGGAGUCCUGGUCGGAGUCGUCUCGUUCGGACAAUUAUCCGACCAGUUUGGCAGAAAGUGGGUGUAUGUGACCGGUUUGGCGCUGGACAUCGUCUUCUCGCUGGUGAACGCCAUGUCUCCUUCCUUCCCCGUCUUCCUUGGUACUCGCUUUAUGGUGGGAGUGAUGAACGGGGGGAUGUCCCUGGUCGCCUUCGUGCUGCUUAAUGAAUGCAUUGGUGCCACCUACUGGGCAUUAGUGGGCUCUCUGUCCAGUCUGUGUUUUGCGCUGGGGAUCGCACAGUUCGCGCUCAUCGGAUUCUUCGUGCGCUGGUGGCGUCUCCUGGCGCUGGUGGUGAAUGUCCAGGGUGCGGCCAUCUUGCUGCUGUCGCUGUGGAUCCCGGAGUCUCCGCGCUGGCUGUACGCUCAGGGCCGCCUGCAGGACGCUCGGGACGCGCUGCUCCUCCUGGGACGCUUGAACCGCUCCAAACCCAAACCCUUCGCCCUGACCCCCCGGCAGAAGGACAGCGGCGCCUCCCGGUCCAAGAUCCUCAGCAUCUGCCGCAGCGCGGUACUGCGCCGCCGAACACUGCUCAUGAUGUGGGCCUGGUUUGUCUGCAGUCUGGUGUAUUACGGACUGACACUCAGCACCGGAGACCUGGGGGGAAACAUCUACUUCAACCUGGCGCUAUCCGGCCUCGCCGAGGUCCCAGCGUAUCCACUGUGCAUGUAUCUAAUCAAUCAUAAGAGCUGUGGCCGGCGCAGAACACUUUGUGGCUUCCUGAGUCUCGGUGGAGUCUCGUGUCUGAUCAUUAUGGCCGCCCCUGGGCAGAGAGGCUGGUGGAGCAGUCAGACGUUCUCACUCCUCGGAAAGCUUUGUAUCAGCGCGGCCUUUAACAUCGUCUAUAUCUACACCUCGGAGCUGUAUCCCACCACUGUCAGGAGUCUGGGGAUGGGCGUCUGCUCCAUGUUCUCUCGCUUUGGAGGAAUCAUUGCGCCGUUCGUCCCCGCUCUGCGCUCGGUCUGGUGGGUUCUCCCUUACGUGGUGUUUGGCUCCUCGGGGGUGACCGCCGGGCUCCUCAGCCUCCUGUUACCCGAGACGCUGAACUGUCCGCUGCCGCAGACGCUGAGUGACCUACAGGUGUCCACAUAUCACUGCCUGGAGGAGGAGGAGUCCUGUCUGCUAAGGGAAGACGCCGCACAGGUCAGACUACCUACCUGACCAUGUGACCUGCUGGCCCCUCACUGGUGUCACAAUGUGACUGCGGCCAUGAUGGGAGGUGACCCACUCUCUUUAUAUGGGGGAUCUGCCAUCUUCAGGGCUGAGCCGGGGAUGGGAGCGGAGGUGUCCAGUGAGGAGGAAGAGGAGCUCUGACCACACCCCCUUGACCCCUCAUCAGAGUUUACAAAAACAAAGCCUUAACGGGGAGGCGAAGGGUUCUGUGUGCCACAGGGGCAAAGGGUCUUGUGUACCAGAGGAACUGUGAUUCCUGCGGAGCAGAGGGUCCUGUGUGCCAGUGAGGCGGAGGGUCCUGUGUGCCAGUGAGGGGGAGGGUCUUGUGUGCCAGUGAGGCGGAGGGUCUUGUGUGCCAGUGAGGCGGAGGGUCUUGUGUGCCAGUGAGGCGGAGGGUCUUGUGUGCCAGUGAGGCGGAGGGUCUUGUGUGCCAGUGAGGCGGAGGGUCUUGUGUGCCAGUGAGGCGGAGGGUCUUGUGUGCCAGUGAGGGGGAGGGUCUUGUGUGCCAGUGAGGCGGAGGGUCUUGUGUGCCAGUGAGGCGGAGGGUCUUGUGUGCCAGUGAGGGGGAGGGUCUUGUGUGCCAGUGAG